RNAcentral lists this long non-coding RNA (1297 nucleotides) under Bos indicus x Bos taurus (hybrid cattle). Its description in RNAcentral is "lncRNA (ENSBIXG00000021494.1)". Lineage: Eukaryota; Metazoa; Chordata; Mammalia; Artiodactyla; Bovidae. The record is from RNAcentral.
AGGGGAUAAAGGGUUACAUGGUGAAGAGAGAAAGUUGGCACAGCUAAGCAGACCAAGUGGGCUUCCUGGAGGAAGGGGCAUUCGAUUGAGAUUUGAAAGCUUUUUUUUUUUUUUUUAAAUUAUUUGACUGCACCGGGUCUUAGUUGUGGCAUGAGAACUCUGAGUUGUGGCAUGUGGGAUCUAGUUCCCUGACCAGGGAUCAAACCCAGGCCUCCUAAAUUGGGAGCGAGGAGUAUUAGCCACUGGACUACCAGGGAGGUCCCAGAUUUUUUUUUUUAAAUCUUGAGUGUUGAAAGGGAAGCAAGGUCGAGUGAAGUCCCUGACAGAAGGGGCAGCUGAGGUGAAGCAGGUGAGACCUGGACUGUGUCGAUCAGACCUAGUUGGGAUCCCAUUGCUAAGGAUGGACCAUGUGGCUUUGUGGAGGUGCCUUCUCCUCCGAACAUAUUUCCUCACUGGAAGAGAAGAAAGACUGUGAAGAUACUGAAACAACACGUGUGAAACAGCCACCCAACCCUGUGGGUGCUGCUCCUGUCUGGCUUACUCCGGUCUGACUCUAGUGGUGGCCUGGCGGGCGCUCCAGGCAGGUGGUGACACUCCUGUGUCUCUGGUUUGAAGGGAAUCAUUAGACAUCAAAUGAACACUCCUUAGGAAGAGAUAAAUGUUGUCCUCUGUCAGAGCCGUGGCCCUGUCACCAGGGCAGGUGACCAGGACUGCACAACCAACAGCCCAGGCUCUGCGGUUCCAGCUCUGCGUCCCGGCUGCUCUCCAGCAGGAAAGGAGGCCAAGGCCUGUGCCCACUUCACACAGAGCACCUCAGGGCCUCGCCCUGGGGUUCCUGCCAAAGAGUCCUUCUUGCAUCACACCUGGAGGCCACCCCAGCCAGCAAGUCCAUCAGGAGGAAUAACACGUUCAGUCAACAGGCACCUGCUUACACAUUUUCUACUCAGAGAUAACUGCUCAGUCAGAGCUCUUCAGACCUCAAAGUGGCCCGGGGCCUGGGUCUGGUGGGGAGGUGCUGCUUUGGCAACACAGAAGCCUCUGCUGCCUCUGGGAGCUGAGCCCACACCUUUCCUUCAAUCUGCAGGUGGUUUCAGAGAACAGGUCUGCAAGACAGAGGCCACCAAGCAGCUAGCUGGCAACACAAAGAGCAGCUUCCUCUCCCUUCCAGACUCAAGCAUCCCCUGGAGCGAGGCUACCUUUUGAGGGUCCGCUUGGACCUCGGUUGAUGUGUCUGCAUCCACAUGGUUUAGUUUAGCCGGUUACUUUCCUCUGGACACUAGGAGUCAGUGGCGGGGUG